RNAcentral lists this ribosomal RNA (264 nucleotides) under Triticum aestivum (bread wheat). RNAcentral describes it as "partial small subunit ribosomal RNA". Lineage: Eukaryota; Viridiplantae; Streptophyta; Magnoliopsida; Poales; Poaceae. The record is from RNAcentral.
AUGCGUGUGCCUAAGGAGAGGGGCGGCAUGGGCUUCAGAGAUUUGCACUGUUUUAAUUUGACCCUUUUGGCUAAGCAAUGUUGCAUACUGUUAAGUGAACCAGAUUCUUUAUGUGCUAGAGUUAAGGCCAAAUACUUCCCUAAUGAAGACCUCCUCAAUUGCAGCCUGAAGAAAGGGAGCUCAUACACAUGGCAGAGUUUACGGAGUGGUUGUUCUCAAAUUAAGAUCUGGGAAGAUUCAUGGAUACCGAGCAGUCCUACAUGA